Coffea eugenioides is the source of this 107-nucleotide small nucleolar RNA. NCBI's taxonomy places the organism in Eukaryota, Viridiplantae, Streptophyta, Magnoliopsida, Gentianales, Rubiaceae. The record is from RefSeq and is a predicted model, not a curated record.
AUUUGGUGCUGAGGGCAUUUGAUGCAUAAUUUCUUAAAUCACUCCUAGUAAUCGUAGAGAGACUCCCCUGGAUGCUGUGUAAUGCCACAUAUUUCCUUCCUCAGAUU